GACGAACGCUGGCGGCGUGCCUAAUACAUGCAAGUCGAACGCUGAAGGAGGAGCUUGCUCUUCUGGAUGAGUUGCGAACGGGUGAGUAACGCGUAGGUAACCUGCCUGGUAGCGGGGGAUAACUAUUGGAAACGAUAGCUAAUACCGCAUAAGAGUAGAUGUUGCAUGACAUUUACUUAAAAGGUGCAAUUGCAUCACUACCAGAUGGACCUGCGUUGUAUUAGCUAGUUGGUGGGGUAACGGCUUACCAAGGCGACGAUACAUAGCCGACCUGAGAGGGUGAUCGGCCACACUGGGACUGAGACACGGCCCAGACUCCUACGGGAGGCAGCAGUAGGGAAUCUUCGGCAAUGGACGGAAGUCUGACCGAGCAACGCCGCGUGAGUGAAGAAGGUUGUCGGAUCGUAAAGCUCUGUUGUAAGAGAAGAACGAGUGUGAGAGUGGAAAGUUCACACUGUGACGGUAUCUGACCAGAAAGGGACGGCUAACUACGUG
This 495-nucleotide ribosomal RNA is filed under the name uncultured bacterium. RNAcentral's name for it is "partial 16S ribosomal RNA". It matches the Rfam family "Bacterial small subunit ribosomal RNA", at positions 28 to 507 of the family's 1533-position model. The record is from RNAcentral.